GACGAACGCUGGCGGCGUGCUUAACACAUGCAAGUCGAACGGAAAGGCCCUGCUUUUGUGGGGUGCUCGAGUGGCGAACGGGUGAGUAACACGUGAGUAACCUGCCCUUGACUUUGGGAUAACUUCAGGAAACUGGGGCUAAUACCGGAUAGGAGCUCCUGCUGCAUGGUGGGGGUUGGAAAGUUUCGGCGGUUGGGGAUGGACUCGCGGCUUAUCAGCUUGUUGGUGGGGUAGUGGCUUACCAAGGCUUUGACGGGUAGCCGGCCUGAGAGGGUGACCGGCUGAAGUGGGACGGAGAUGCGGGCGAGACGCCUACGGGAGGCAGAAGUGGGGAAGAGUGAGCAAGGGGCGGAAGCCGGAUGCAGCAACGCCGCGGGCGGGAUGACGGCCGGCGGGUUGGAAAACGCUGUCGCCUGUGACGAAGGGUGAGUGAGGGGAAUGGGUAAAGAAGCACCGGCUAGCUACGUG
Molecule: ribosomal RNA, 468 nt
Filed under: uncultured bacterium
Lineage: Bacteria
Description: partial 16S ribosomal RNA
Rfam family: Bacterial small subunit ribosomal RNA
Source: RNAcentral